RNAcentral lists this ribosomal RNA (421 nucleotides) under uncultured bacterium. RNAcentral's name for it is "bacterial SSU rRNA". It matches the Rfam family "Bacterial small subunit ribosomal RNA", at positions 958 to 1392 of the family's 1533-position model. The record is from RNAcentral.
AACGCGAAGAACCUUACCAGGGUUUGACAUACAAGUAGUAGGGAACUGAAAAGGGACCGACCCUUCGGGGAGCUUGAACAGGUGCUGCAUGGCUGUCGUCAGCUCGUGUCGUGAGAUGUUCGGUUAAGUCCGCUAACGAGCGCAACCCUCGCUGUGUGUUACAAGUGUCACACGGAACUGCCGGUCAUAAACCGGAGGAAGGUGGGGAUGGCGUCAAAUCAUCAUGCCCCUUAUGUUCAGGGCUACACACGUGCUACAAUGGCCGAUACAAAGGGCAGCGAAGGAGUAAUCUGGAGCCAAUCCCAGAAAAUCGGUCCCAGUUCGGAUUGUGGGCUGCAACUCGCCCACAUGAAGUCGGAGUUGCUAGUAAUCGCGAAUCAGAAUGUCGCGGUGAAUGCGUUCCCGGGUCUUGUACACACCG